AGUGAACGCUGGCGGUAGGCCUAACACAUGCAAGUCGAACGGCAGCACAGUAAGAGCUUGCUCUUACGGGUGGCGAGUGGCGGACGAGUGAGGAAUACAUCGGAAUCUACUUUUUCGUGGGGGAUAACGUAGGGAAACUUACGCUAAUACCUCAUACGACCUACGGGUUAAAUCAGUGGAUCUUCGGACCUUGCGCGAUUGAAUGAGCCGAUGUCGGAUUAGCUAGUUGGCGGGGUAAAGGCCCACCAAGGCGACGAUCCGUAGCUGGUCUGAGAGGAUGAUCAGCCACACUGGAACUGAGACACGGUCCAGACUCCUACGGGAGGCAGCAGUGGGGAAUAUUGGACAAUGGGCGAAAGCCUGAUCCAGCAAUACCGCGUGGGUGAAGAAGGCCUUCGGGUUGUAAAGCCCUGUUGUUGGGAAAGAAAAGCAGCAGGUUAAUACCCCGAUGUUCUGACGGUACCAAAAGAAUAAGCACCGGCUAACUUCGUG
Molecule: ribosomal RNA, 492 nt
Filed under: uncultured bacterium
Lineage: Bacteria
Description: partial 16S ribosomal RNA
Rfam family: Bacterial small subunit ribosomal RNA
Source: RNAcentral